Molecule: long non-coding RNA, 617 nt
Filed under: Gallus gallus (chicken)
Lineage: Eukaryota; Metazoa; Chordata; Aves; Galliformes; Phasianidae
Source: RNAcentral
AGCACCAGAGCAGGAAAAGUGGCUUUCUGCAGGGAAUAGCUCCUGGCACCCGCUAUGGCAGCACCACGAUCUUCUUCUCCAGCACCUGCGGAGGGAAGAGGACGCUCCUCACCGCCGUGUCCAGCUCCUCCAGUGCCAGCUGGGCAUGCAGCACGGCCGCGCCGUCGGGCUCGGCUGCCACCACGUGCUUCAGCAGGCGGUACAGGUCCCGCAGCACGUCCUGCAGCACCUCAGUUGCCUUCUUGCUGAGCCCCUGCAGCAGCAGCACCACCACAUGCACGGCCGCUCUCCGCACCUCUGCCUCAGGGUCUGUCUUGGCGAUGGCCGUCAAACAGGAGGACACCUCAUGGAUGACAGAGCCCAGCUGGAAGCCGAGCCUUUGGCACAGCUCCCCCAGGUUGGAGAGGCUGCUGGCACGCAGUGUGCUGUCCGGGUCCCGCGCUCCCCUUAGGAAGGCAUGGAUCAGGGGCUCCCGGUGCUUGAUGACCAUAUCCCCCAGCGCCCGAGUGAUGCGCAUCAGCACCUCGCCCAGCUUCAUCCUGGUCACAGCAGCUGUGGUGUCCUCUGUGCCCUGGACAGGACGCCCAUAGCGGGCCAGCAGGACGGGCAGGAUCUGC